CCUAGUUAAUAGGUAUGCUUUAGGAGGGGCUUGCGCCAUAUUAGUUAGUUGGUAGGGUAAUGGCCUACCAAGACGAUGAUGUGUAGCUGGACUGAGAGGUUGAACAGCCACAUUGGGACUGAGACACGGCCCAAACUCCUACGGGAGGCAGCAGUAGGGAAUUUUCGGCAAUGGAGGAAACUCUGACCGAGCAACGCCGCGUGAAUGACGAAGUACUUCGGUAUGUAAAGUUCUUUUAUCGAGGAAGAAAAGCAAAUGGCGAACCAUUUGUUUGCCGGUACUUGAUGAAUAAGCCCCGGCUAAUUAUGUGCCAGCAGCCGCGGUAAGACAUAAGGGGCAAGUGUUAUCCGGAAUUAUUGGGCGUAAAGGGUGCGUAGGCGGUCUAGUAAGUCAGUGGUGUAAUGUCAACGCUUAACGUUGUCCGGCUAUUGAAACUGCUAAACUUGAGUUAGAUAGAGGCGAGUGGAAUUCCAUGUGUAGCGGUAAAAUGCGUAAAUAUAUGGAGGAACACCAGAGGCGUAGGCGGCUCGCUGGGUCUUAACUGACGCUGAGGCACGAAAGCGUGGGGAGCAAACAGGAUUAGAUACCCUGGUAGUCCACGCCGUAAACGAUGAGUACUAAGUGUCGGGUUAAACCGGUACUGAAGUUAACACAUUAAGUACUCCGCCUGAGUAGUACGUACGCAAGUAUGAAACUUAAAGGAAUUGACGGGACUCCGCACAAGCGGUGGAUCAUGUUGUUUAAUUCGAAGAUACCCGAAAAACCUUACCAGGUCUUGACAUGUUUUUGCAAAAUGAUAGUAAUAUCGUGGAGGUUACCAGAAACACAGGUGGUGCAUGGUUGUCGUCAGCUCGUGUCGUGAGAUGUUAGGUUAAGUCCUAAAACGAGCGAAACCCUUAUCGUUAGUUGCCAGCACGUUAUGGUGGGGACUUUAACGAGACUGCCAAUGAUAAAUUGGAGGAAGGUGAGGAUCACGUCAAAUCAGCAUGCCCCUUAUGACCUGGGCUACAAACGUGAUACAAUGGCUGUUACAAAGGGUAGCUGAAACGCAAGUUCUUGGCCAAUCCCCAAAAACAGUCCCAGUCCGGAUUGAAGUCUGCAACUCGACUUCAUGAAGUUGGAAUCGCUAGUAAUCGCGAAUCAGCAUGUCGCGGUGAAUACGUUCUCGG
RNAcentral lists this ribosomal RNA (1169 nucleotides) under Sesame phyllody phytoplasma. Its description in RNAcentral is "bacterial SSU rRNA". It matches the Rfam family "Bacterial small subunit ribosomal RNA", at positions 201 to 1377 of the family's 1533-position model. Lineage: Bacteria; Bacillati; Mycoplasmatota; Mollicutes; Acholeplasmatales; Acholeplasmataceae. The record is from RNAcentral.